AACGAACGCUGGCGGCAUGCCUAACACAUGCAAGUCGAACGAGACCUUCGGGUCUAGUGGCGCACGGGUGCGUAACGCGUGGGAACCUGCCCUUAGGUUCGGAAUAACUCCCCGAAAGGGGUGCUAAUACCGGAUAAUGUCUUCGGACCAAAGAUUUAUCGCCUUUGGAUGGGCCCGCGUUGGAUUAGCUAGUUGGUAGGGUAAAAGCCUACCAAGGCGACGAUCCAUAGCCGGUCUGAGAGGAUGAUCAGCCACACUGGGACUGAGACACGGCCCAGACUCCUACGGGAAGCAGCAGUGGGGAAUAUUGGACAAUGGGCGAAAGCCUGAUCCAGCAAUGCCGCGUGAGUGAUGAAGGCCUUAGGGUUGUAAAGCUCUUUUACCCGGGAUGAUAAUGACAGUACCGGGAGAAUAAGCUCCGGCUAACUCCGUG
Molecule: ribosomal RNA, 433 nt
Filed under: uncultured bacterium
Lineage: Bacteria
Description: partial 16S ribosomal RNA
Rfam family: Bacterial small subunit ribosomal RNA
Source: RNAcentral